GCAAGUCGAGGGGUAACAGGAGAAAGCUUGCUUUUUCGCUGACGACCGGCGAACGGGUGCGUAACGCGUAUGCAACCUACCUCUUACUGGGGAAUAGCCCGAAGAAAUUCGGAUUAAGAUCCCAUAGUAUUUAAUUUUCGCAUGAUUAUUAAAUUAAAGGUUACGGUAAGAGAUGGGCAUGCGUCCCAUUAGCUAGAUGGUAAGGUAACGGCUUACCAUGGCAACGAUGGGUAGGGGGCCUGAGAGGGUGAUC
RNAcentral lists this ribosomal RNA (253 nucleotides) under uncultured bacterium. Its description in RNAcentral is "partial 16S ribosomal RNA". It matches the Rfam family "Bacterial small subunit ribosomal RNA", at positions 57 to 305 of the family's 1533-position model. The record is from RNAcentral.